AUUGAACGCUGGCGGCAGGCUUAACACAUGCAAGUCGAGCGGGGUGAUGGUGCUUGCACUAUCACUUAGCGGCGGACGGGUGAGUAAUGCUUAGGAAUCUGCCUAUUAGUGGGGGACAACAUCUCGAAAGGGAUGCUAACACCGCAUACGUCCUACGGGAGAAAGCAGGGGAUCGCUUGUGACCUUGCGCUAAUAGAUGAGCCUAAGUCGGAUUAGCUAGUUGGUGGGGUAAAGGCCUACCAAGGCGACGAUCUGUAGCGGGUCUGAGAGGAUGAUCCGCCACACUGAGACUGAGACACGGCCCAGACUCCUACGGGAGGCAGCAGUGGGGAAUAUUGGACAAUGGGGGGAACCCUGAUCCAGCCAUGCCGCGUGUGUGAAGAAGGCCUUAUGGUUGUAAAGCACUUUAAGCGAGGAGGAGGCUCUUUUGGUUAAUACCCAAGAUGAGUGGACGUUACUCGCAGAAUAAGCACCGGCUAACUCUGUGCCAGCAGCCGCCGUAA
Molecule: ribosomal RNA, 503 nt
Filed under: uncultured bacterium
Lineage: Bacteria
Description: partial 16S ribosomal RNA
Rfam family: Bacterial small subunit ribosomal RNA
Source: RNAcentral